RNAcentral lists this long non-coding RNA (863 nucleotides) under Salmo salar (Atlantic salmon). RNAcentral describes it as "lncRNA (ENSSSAG00000110444.1)". Lineage: Eukaryota; Metazoa; Chordata; Actinopteri; Salmoniformes; Salmonidae. The record is from RNAcentral.
CACGCCCUGACCAUAGAGAGCCUUUUUAGUCUCUAUUUUGGUUAGGUUGGGGUGUGACUAGGGUGGGUAAUCUAGUGUGUGCAUUUCUUUGUUGGCCUGGUAUGGUUCCCAAUCAGAGGCAGCUGUUUAGCGUUGUCUCUGAUUGGGGAUCAUAUUUAGGCAGCCAUUUUCCCACUGUGUUUUGUGGGAUCUUAUUUAUGUGUAGUUGCCUGUGAGCACUCCAUAGCUUCAUGUGUUCGUUUGUUCUUUAUUGUUUUUUUGAGAGUUUAAUUUAAUAAACAUGUGGAACCCAGAUCAGGCUGCGCUUUGGUCCGAGUAUGCUUCCAACGACGAUCGUGACACAGCUCUUACACAAAAAGGGCAUUAUCAUAAUUUUCACAAUUUCUGAGUGUUUUUUCGUCCUCAUAGUGUGGAAAUCUCAUAAAAAAGGAGAAAAUCACAUUUUUUAACUGCACUGCCCCUUUGAUGAAGUUCCAGUAGAGUAUCAAUGAUCAGCAGACGACUGAGCAGUACAACGAGGCAGCCAACAAAGCCCAGGCCCAUAUCAAGCUCAGACUGGCAGUGUCUAUCUGUCCCGAGCUCCAGACCUAGGUGUUCUACUGCUCCAGACCUUGGUGUUCCACUGCUCCAGACCUAGGUGUUCUACUGCUCCAGACCUUGGUGUUCCACUGCUCCAGACCUUGGUGUUCCACUGCUCCAGACCUAGGUGUUCCACUGCUCCAGACCUUGGUGUUCCACUGCUCCAGACCUUGGUGUUCCACUGCUCCAGACCUAGGUGUUCUACUGCUCCAGACCUUGGUGUUCCACUGCUCCAGACCUUGGUGUUCCACUGCUCCAGACCUAGGUGUUCCACUGCUCCAGAC